Molecule: non-coding RNA, 1459 nt
Organism: Chlorocebus sabaeus (green monkey)
Lineage: Eukaryota; Metazoa; Chordata; Mammalia; Primates; Cercopithecidae
Source: RefSeq, a predicted model, not a curated record
GAAAUGUGUUUCUGCAGAUUGCGGCAUUUCAGCUAAAAGUUCAACGAGAUUAAAAAGGAGAAAACUUGAGUCAUUUGAGUGAAUAUCGCAAACAGGAUUUAGGCUACAGGUGUUGCUGCAUGUUCUUGGGGUUGUCAGUGGAGCACAGACAGGAAUACCACACAUGGCAGCUCUGCAACUUAUUCUAAGACUUUUAGACCAAGAGGCAGGAAAGAGUGAAGGAAUGAUCACCACAUUGUACCAGGGGUAUACUGAUGAGAGGUAAGAUGAUUUGGGUGGCAGGGGUGACCCCCAAUUUUUUUAACCCAGAAAAAGAUGGAUAAAUGCUCUGACAUUGCUGUGAUCCAGGGAUCUGUGGUCACGGUUGCUUGUGCAGGCAGCAGCCAAUACUUCUGAAUGGCCCCCUUGGGACUACAAAACUGUGUGGUGGGGCAGGGAGCCCAUACUAUUUGCUACAUCAGAAAAAUCCAUUCAUGAAAAAGAAAGACAGAGAAGAAUAAAAGUCUUCUCAGAAAGCCUUAGUAAAAUGGGUGCUUUUAUUUUCACAGACAUGUCUAUGCAAAUACAGUCAGUCACAAGAGAGAGCUUCUUAAGCCUGAUCAAAAUUUAAACUCUGAAAGGUGAGUGAGCCUGUUAAGAGACCUCCACCCUUCUAGUAACCUAUGUCCCUUGAUAUGGGAAGGAUAUCUUAGUUCUCUCUAGCCCCUUGCUUAGGAUUUUAAAUGAGAGACUUCAGCUUUGGUGUAAAGCUGUCAGCUGCCCUAAUCAAGGACAAUACACAAAAAUUAGACUCCUUGUAAGAAUAAGGGAUUAAGUGGAGGAAGAUUUAGAAGUGAGUAGGAACAAAAGAGCAGAACUAAGCCUGCAUCUGCAGAAAAUGUCCAAGGACAGCUGACAGAGUUCAACUCCAUGGGGAAAAGGCAUGUUAGUGUGUAGAGAAACUGGACAAGGAGGGAUAGCCUUAGCCUUCCAUAAUGGAGAAGUCAAGGGAAGGAAUGACUGCAUGCAAUAGAGAACUGAAUUAGAAAGAGGAGAAAUGUAAACCAGCAGUGCUUCCCUAUCUUGGGCCUGGCUAGCUUAAAGUGGCUCCACUGUCAUUGGUCAAAAAACUUUCAUGAGGAGAUCCAAUCACUAAUGCAACAAACUCUAAUGAGUUCUAAGUUGGAGAUGGUUCAGUUCUAAAGCUUGGGGGUAGACAGGUCACUGGGAGAGAAGGAAUGAAGGAGUGGGAUCUGAACAUUGUAAUAAGUCAUCUAGUAGCUCUGAUCACUUUGGACAUUGCUGGGGGAUACACAACAGCUCACUAUAACAUUACAACACAUACUUAUAUCUGUUUGUUCCCCCAAACUAACAUGACAAUGUGUUUCUGCCAUCUUAGCUUACAGAGACAUGAUUUAGUCCAGGUUAUACUCAGAUUUUACAAAAGAGACUUUGACCACAUAGAUAUUCAUAAAAUUAA